UACGUAGGGUGCAAGCGUUAAUCGGAAUUACUGGGCGUAAAGCGUGCGCAGGCGGUUUUGUAAGUCUGUCGUGAAAGCCCCGGGCUCAACCUGGGAAUUGCGAUGGAGACUGCAAGGCUUGAGUCUGGCAGAGGGGGGUAGAAUUCCACGUGUAGCAGUGAAAUGCGUAGAGAUGUGGAGGAACACCGAUGGCGAAGGCAGCCCCCUGGGUCAAGAUUGACGCUCAUGCACGAAAGCGUGGGGAGCAAACAGG
Molecule: ribosomal RNA, 253 nt
Filed under: uncultured bacterium
Lineage: Bacteria
Description: partial 16S ribosomal RNA
Rfam family: Bacterial small subunit ribosomal RNA
Source: RNAcentral